RNAcentral lists this ribosomal RNA (253 nucleotides) under uncultured bacterium. RNAcentral describes it as "partial 16S ribosomal RNA". It matches the Rfam family "Bacterial small subunit ribosomal RNA", at positions 524 to 776 of the family's 1533-position model. The record is from RNAcentral.
UACGUAAGGUGCGAGCGUUGUCCGGAAUUAUUGGGCGUAAAGAGCUCGUAGGCGGCUUGUCGCGUCGGAUGUGAAAGCCCGGGGCUUAACUCCGGGUCUGCAUUCGAUACGGGCAGGCUAGAGUUCGGUAGGGGAGAUCGGAAUUCCUGGUGUAGCGGUGAAAUGCGCAGAUAUCAGGAGGAACACCGGUGGCGAAGGCGGAUCUCUGGGCCGAUACUGACGCUGAGGAGCGAAAGCGUGGGGAGCGAACAGG